UGUCAGGAACAACUGGUCGCAAAGAUCGCACUUCACUUCUUUGUCACGAGCGUGACGUUCUAAAUGUUUCUUUAAAUAUUUCUCUUGUUUUAAUUUGUAGCCGCAAAUAGGGCAGGGGUAGCAAACAGUCUUCUUCAUCAUCAUCUGAUAAACAUACAACUUCAUCAUCAUCGUCAUGGCCCGUUAUUGUUUCUUCUUUUAUACAAGACGAUGUCCCUUUGUCAGAAUCUUUACCUAAGCUACUAGUUGCCUGGCGCCUCGAGUUUUCUGACUUGGGUAUUAUUUUAGCUUUUGCGACUCCGCUACUAUCCGCUUUCUCAACUAACUUUUUACAAUAGUCCUACAUGCAGGACAAAUGUUGCCAGGUAAACAAUCAUUGGUUGAUAUCUGGAAUUUUUUUAUAUUGUUUGUUAUGACAAUAUGAAAACAGCACUUGAACUGAUGUCGACGAUGUUAUAUUUUUAGUUGAUCUCAAUAUUUAACACACAACAAAAAGGAUAACGAAAAACGAAAACGGAACUGAACGAUAAUGAACACGAAAACGUAAUUAAGACACACACACAUGGAUGUUAGCUACGAAACAAUGAUAUAAAAUGGUUUUUAUGGAAACAAA
This is a long non-coding RNA of Hermetia illucens (black soldier fly), 613 nucleotides long. RefSeq lists it as uncharacterized. The record is from RefSeq and is a predicted model, not a curated record. Lineage: Eukaryota; Metazoa; Arthropoda; Insecta; Diptera; Stratiomyidae. The transcript is spliced from 3 exons.